Molecule: ribosomal RNA, 497 nt
Filed under: uncultured bacterium
Lineage: Bacteria
Description: partial 16S ribosomal RNA
Rfam family: Bacterial small subunit ribosomal RNA
Source: RNAcentral
GACGAACGCUGGCGGCGUGCCUAAUACAUGCAAGUUGAGCGAUGAAGAUUGGUGCUUGCACCAAUUUGAAGAGCAGCGAACGGGUGAGUAACGCGUGGGGAAUCUGCCUUUGAGCGGGGGACAACAUUUGGAAACGAAUGCUAAUACCGCAUAACAACUUUAAACAUAAGUUUUAAGUUUGAAAGAUGCAAUUGCAUCACUCAAAGAUGAUCCCGCGUUGUAUUAGCUAGUUUGUGAGGUAAAGGCUCACCAAGGCGAUGAUACAUAGCCGACCUGAGAGGGUGAUCGGCCACAUUGGGACGUGGACACGGCCCAAACUCCUACGGGAGGCAGCAGUAGGGAAUCUUCGGCAAUGGACGAAAGUCUGACCGAGCAACGCCGCGUGAGUGAAGAAGGUUUUCGGAUCGUAAAACUCUGUUGGUAGAGAAGAACGUUGGUGAGAGUGGAAAGCUCAUCAAGUGACGGUAACUACCCAGAAAGGGACGGCUAACUACGUG